RNAcentral lists this ribosomal RNA (450 nucleotides) under uncultured bacterium. Its description in RNAcentral is "partial 16S ribosomal RNA". It matches the Rfam family "Bacterial small subunit ribosomal RNA", at positions 354 to 796 of the family's 1533-position model. The record is from RNAcentral.
GUGGGGAAUCUUCCGCAAUGGACGAAAGUCUGACGGAGCAACGCCGCGUGAGUGAAGAAGGUUUUCGGAUCGUAAAGCUCUUUCGUUAGGGACGAACGUGCUCUUUGUGAAUAAUGAGGAGUAAUGACGGUACCUAAAUAAGAAGCCACGGCUAACUACGUGCCAGCAGCCGCGGUAAUACGUAGGUGGCAAGCGUUGUCCGGAAUUAUUGGGCGUAAAGCGCGCGCAGGCGGGAUAUCAAGUCUGUCUUAAAAGUGCGAGGCUCAACCUCGUGAGGGGACAGAAACUGGUAUUCUUGAGUGUCGGAGGGGAAAGUGGAAUUCCAAGUGUAGCGGUGAAAUGCGUAGAGAUUUGGAAGAACACCAGUGGCGAAGGCGACUUUCUGGACGAUGUCUGACGCUGAGGCGCGAAAGCUAGGGGAGCGAACGGGAUUAGAAACCCCGGUAGUCC